CAGAUUGAGUUGAAUUCACCGCCCGCCUUGUCAAAAACUACCACAAAACGAAACUCGGCUCCAGAUAGAUUUGCCCUGUGGAGCCACCAGAAUCCACCCGAGAAAGGCCACCCCGGCCAUGGGCGGCCUGGGAAGUUUUAACUAAUUCACUUACCCUACUUACUCUAUCAAGCAGGGUGGGGGAGGCGAAACUCCGAUUCCGCAACAAGGCAAAAAGCGGAUCGCCUCAACACAGGCAAAAAGGGCUGGAAACGGAAAUGCUACCCUGGGGAAGGAAGUCUGGUCGAAGCCUGCUAGAAGCCCGUUCGUGCACUCCAGCCGCCUGAUUGGCUAUGCUUAAAAGGGCGGACAUUGGCAGCAAAAGCCAUUUGGCCCCGUCCAAGGACUUGAGUUAGGGUUACGGGAUAUCAUGGGCCAACCUUGGACCCUUGCUGCUGCGAGGAAGUUGGAAGAGGCGAAUGGGAACGAGGAAGUUAAUCAUUAAUUAAGCUGCCCACUUAACUGUUACUUGAUUGAGCAUAAUGAUUAAGGGGAAAAAAAAAAAAAAAAGAGGGCUCACGAACCCGGGAGCGCCCCGACGCUCAACGUAUGGGGCCGAGCGUUUCCGUGGCCUGUUCUUCGCUGAGUUUAAACCUCGACGAGACCCAUUCAUGCCC
RNAcentral lists this small RNA (656 nucleotides) under Histoplasma ohiense. RNAcentral's name for it is "hypothetical lncRNA". Lineage: Eukaryota; Fungi; Ascomycota; Eurotiomycetes; Onygenales; Ajellomycetaceae. The record is from RNAcentral.